UGCCAGACUCCUACGGGAGGCAGCAGUGGGGAAUAUUGCACAAUGGGGGGAACCCUGAUGCAGCGACGCCGCGUGGGUGAAGGAGUAUUUCGGUAUGUAAAGCCCUCUCAGCAGGGAAGAACAAUGACGGUACCUGACUAAGAAGCACCGGCUAAAUACGUGCCAGCAGCCGCGGUAAUACGUAUGGUGCAAGCGUUAUCCGGAUUUACUGGGUGUAAAGGGCGUGUAGGCGGGAAAGCAAGUCAGAUGUGAAAACCAUGGGCUCAACCUGUGGCCUGCAUUUGAAACUGUUUUUCUUGAGUACUGGAGAGGCAGACGGAAUUCCUAGUGUAGCGGUGAAAUGCGUAGAUAUUAGGAGGAACACCAGUGGCGAAGGCGGUCUGCUGGACAGCAACUGACGCUGAGGCGCGAAAGCGUGGGUAGCAAACAGGAUUAGAUACCCUAGUAGA
Molecule: ribosomal RNA, 449 nt
Filed under: uncultured bacterium
Lineage: Bacteria
Description: bacterial SSU rRNA
Rfam family: Bacterial small subunit ribosomal RNA
Source: RNAcentral